UGGGAAUCUUCCCUGAUUUUUUAUGGCGGACUCAAACUGCUCCACAAGGCAUUGUCGGCAAAAAUGAUGUCCACAGGCUUCAAGCUCAAACCUAUCGUCUUCAAUGUCACAUAAGCAAAUUGGACAAGCAUCUGUGUCGUCUGGCCUCUCGGCUGAACCACCACUCAUCUUUGCAAACUCAAAAAUGAUAGUUUCAACUUCCUGCUUCAAAUCCCUACUACCCUGGACAUAUAAAAUAUG
Molecule: unclassified non-coding RNA, 240 nt
Filed under: Hevea brasiliensis (rubber tree)
Lineage: Eukaryota; Viridiplantae; Streptophyta; Magnoliopsida; Malpighiales; Euphorbiaceae
Source: RNAcentral